UAAGCAAUAAAAUGAUAAAGA
This 21-nucleotide non-coding RNA is filed under the name Caenorhabditis elegans. Lineage: Eukaryota; Metazoa; Nematoda; Chromadorea; Rhabditida; Rhabditidae. The record is from RNAcentral.